Molecule: ribosomal RNA, 253 nt
Filed under: uncultured bacterium
Lineage: Bacteria
Description: partial 16S ribosomal RNA
Rfam family: Bacterial small subunit ribosomal RNA
Source: RNAcentral
UACGUAGGGGGCGAGCGUUGUCCGGAUUUAUUGGGCGUAAAGAGCUCGUAGGCGGCUCAUCGCGUCUGCCGUGAAAACCCGCAGCUCAACUGCGGGCUUGCGGUUGAUACGGGUGGGCUGGAGUUCGGUAGGGGAGACUGGAAUUCCUGGUGUAGCGGUGAAAUGCGCAGAUAUCAGGAGGAACACCGGUGGCGAAGGCAGGUCUCUGGGCCACUACUGACGCUGAGAAGCGAAAGCAUGGGGAGCGAACAGG